RNAcentral lists this ribosomal RNA (292 nucleotides) under uncultured bacterium. Its description in RNAcentral is "partial 16S ribosomal RNA". It matches the Rfam family "Bacterial small subunit ribosomal RNA", at positions 505 to 796 of the family's 1533-position model. The record is from RNAcentral.
GUGCCAGCAGCCGCGGUAAUACAGAGGGUGCAAGCGUUGCUCGGAAUCAUUGGGCGUAAAGGGUAGGUAGGUGGUCUCGUUUGUCUAGGGUGAAAGCCCAGGGCUUAACCCUGGAAGUGCCCUGGAAACGGCGAGACUGGAGUCUUGGAGAGGGUCGUGGAAUUCCCGGUGUAGCGGUGAAAUGCGUAGAGAUCGGGAGGAACACCAGAGGCGAAGGCGGCGACCUGGACAAGCACUGACACUCAACUACGAAAGCGUGGGGAGCAAACAGGAUUAGAAACCCUCGUAGUCC